This 434-nucleotide ribosomal RNA is filed under the name uncultured bacterium. RNAcentral's name for it is "partial 16S ribosomal RNA". It matches the Rfam family "Bacterial small subunit ribosomal RNA", at positions 29 to 508 of the family's 1533-position model. The record is from RNAcentral.
AACGAACGCUGGCGGCAUGCCUAACACAUGCAAGUCGAACGAAGGCUUCGGCCUUAGUGGCGCACGGGUGCGUAACGCGUGGGAAUCUGCCCUUGGGUUCGGAAUAACGUCGGGAAACUGACGCUAAUACCGGAUGAUGACGUAAGUCCAAAGAUUUAUCGCCCAAGGAUGAGCCCGCGUCGGAUUAGCUAGUUGGUGAGGUAAAAGCUAACCAAGGCGACGAUCCGUAGCUGGUCUGAGAGGAUGAUCAGCCACACUGGGACUGAGACACGGCCCAGACUCCUACGGGAGAGAGCAGUGGGGAAUAUUGGAAAAGGGGCGAAAGCCUGAUCCAGCAAUGCCGCGUGAGUGAUGAAGGCCUUAGGGUUGUAAAGCUCUUUUAACCGGGAUGAUAAUGACCGUAACGGGAGAAUAAGCUCCGGCUAACUCCGUGC